Molecule: ribosomal RNA, 253 nt
Filed under: uncultured bacterium
Lineage: Bacteria
Description: partial 16S ribosomal RNA
Rfam family: Bacterial small subunit ribosomal RNA
Source: RNAcentral
UACAGAGGUCCCAAGCGUUGUUCGGAUUCACUGGGCGUAAAGGGUGCGUAGGUGGCGUGGUAAGUCGGGUGUGAAAUUUCGGAGCUUAACUCCGAAACUGCAUUCGAUACUGCCGUGCUUGAGGACUGGAGAGGAGACUGGAAUUUACGGUGUAGCAGUGAAAUGCGUAGAGAUCGUAAGGAAGACCAGUGGCGAAGGCGGGUCUCUGGACAGUUCCUGACACUGAGGCACGAAGGCCAGGGGAGCAAACGGG